Nicotiana tabacum (common tobacco) is the source of this 9757-nucleotide non-coding RNA. NCBI's taxonomy places the organism in Eukaryota, Viridiplantae, Streptophyta, Magnoliopsida, Solanales, Solanaceae. The record is from RefSeq and is a predicted model, not a curated record.
AACACCUGAAGCCCUAAACAGAGUAAACUAAAGCCCCAAAACAGCGUUUCCCCAAAUCAUUGUAUACCUUCUCUCUCUCUCUCUACACCUUCUCUCUCAUUCUCUCUAAACAAGCGAUUCCCCCAAAUCACUGUAAUGUAACGAUUCUCCCAAAUCCUUUAGCUUUUAUGUAAGGAGAUCAGAUUUAGGUAGCCAAGGAAUCUAAAACAGUUAGAGCAAUUCUGUAUCCUUUUGAUGUGGUGCUUUGUCUGAAAGCCAUGCCAAUUGAUAAAUCUUGGAUUAGCAAACCACGAAAUACAUUUGAAUACGCGGAUGGGCUUAGAAAAUUUCUGGAUUUUGCUUUUGAGUAUGGGUCUAUUGAUGGGCGUGUAAUUAAGUGUCCGUGUCUGAAAUGUGGUUUUAACAAGUGGCAAAGAAGAAAUGUAGUUGAAGAACACCUGACUUGUAAGCCUUUUCCAAAAAAUUAUAAAGUUUGGUAUUUGCAUGGUGAAGAAUCAAAUCCAACUAUGCCACAAAUGUUUCAGAGCACACAUGUCAUAGAAGAAACUCUGCAGCCCUAAGAUCCAAUGGUAACCAUGAUUAACGAUGCAUUUAGGUUCAUAGGGAACAAUGUCAAUGAGCCUGGUGUGUCUUGUGAGCCUAUGAAUAGUGAAGAAACAAUUAAUGAAGGCAUAAUGAAGAAUAUGCACAGUUCUAUGAGCUGGUAGAAGAUGACAAUCAACCAUUAUAUGAAGGGUGCGAGAAGUAUUUCAAAUUGUCCUUUCUAGUCAAAUUGUAUCAUAUCAAGUGUUUGUGUCGAAUGACUGGCAAAGCGAUGAGUAUGAUAUUAGAAUUGUUAAAAGAUGUCUUUGAAGAUGCCAAGAUUCCUGUUUCUUUUUAUGAGGCCAAAAAAACCACCAACAAACUUGGUCUUAAUUAUACCAAGAUCCAUGCUUGCCCAAAUGAUUGUAUGUUAUAUUUUGGGGAAGAUGAAGGCUUACAAGAAUGCAAAAGUGCAAGACAACUAGGUGGAAGGACAAUAAAAAAAGCAGCCCGCAAAGAUUUUGCGCUACUUUCCACUAAAGCCAAGGCUACAGAGAUUGUUCAUGUGCUCUAAAACUGCUGAGUCUAUGAGAUGGCAUUCUUCCGUGGGUUAUCAAGAUGGAUUGAUGAGACAUCCAAGGGAUUAUCAAGCAUGGAAAGCAUUUGACUUGCUUCAUCCUGAAUUUGCUGUAGAUCCUCGGAAUGUACGACUAGGCCUAGCUAGUGACGGUUUCAAUCCUUUUGGAGAAAUGGCAAUAAACUAUAGUAUUUGGCAUGUGGUUCUUAUUCCAUACAAUCGUCCUCCUUGGAAGUGCAUGAAACAAACUUCAUUCAUUCUUUCAAUGAUCAUUCUAGGAAAACAAAUGCCCGGCAAUGACAUUGACGUGUACUUACAACCUCUUAUCCAAGAGUUGAGAGAAUUGUGGUACGAUGGAGUGCAGACAUUAGACUCUUCAAAGAAUAAAUUUUUUAAAAUGUGAGCAGCCUUGAUGUGGACAAUUAGUGAUUUUCCUGGGCUUGGCAGCUUAUCUGGAUGGAACACAUACACUCAGUUUGCUUGUCCCACAUGUAACUUUGAUACAGACUCUUGCCGGUUGAAGCAUAGUAGAAACUGGUGUUUCAUGGGUCAAGACGAGGUGGUGGUUCUUAUAUGGGCCCAGCUAGUACUAGUGCUCUACCUCCACAAUAGGUGCAAGAGAUGGCAAAUAUGAGAUCACAAUUAAAUGCGCUAACAAGCUUAUUUCAAAUGAAAAUAGGAAAUAUCCCCGAAAAGUUUGCUCACUUAUUUCCGACUCCUUCACAGGCAAGGAACCGCACGAAGUGGAAACGUAACCAAGAACAGAGAAGAAGGUUCCGUGGGCCAUCUCCAUUUGCAAAUGCGGCGAGACGCAGCCAACUUUUCCAACAAAGAUAAAAAGAAAUGAGGUUCCUUUCAGGUUCGUGAAUCUCGGCUUCAGCUUUCCGAUAUUUUUCAUGUACUUAAUUAGAAGUAUACUCAAAGAAAAUCAAAUGAGCAGUUCACAGAAAUAAAAUAAAAAAUAUACUCCUGGUAGUAGUACCUCUAAGUGGGGAAAAAAGGUGAAAACAUAAUCAAACUAGUAUUGUUUACCCUUAAAAUUGGAUAAUAAUUAAAUUUGUGAGUGGUUUUAAGGAUACACAAAUUAGUUUGAUACAAAACGAUAAAUUAAAUUAGAAUGAACAAGUAAAUGUAUAGUGAAUUCAAACCACGCGAGGAGGAUGAUCCCAGCCUUAGUGUAAUGUUCACCCUCGAUUCGGGCUCACAGUAGCCAAUAUUGAUAAACAAGAAAAAGAGCUUUGAUAACAAUAAAAAAUAGUAAUGUAUUGCUUUGGAAUGCGUGUUACAAUGUGUGUCAUGAAUUAUCAGACUCCUUUUAUAUAGUAGGGGAGUCCUACUCUAGGUACGACUCUAUAAAAGGUAAAAAAAUCUUAUGAUUAACUGAUUGUCGGUUCUUCAUCGAUACGUGCUGAGAUCCCCGCCGUGAUAUCCGGCCGGUCACGGAUAUUACGGCCUUCUGUUGGCCGUGCUUGAUUGCCCGACAAUGUUCUUCGAAGUCAUUCAAUGCUAGGACCGGUCCCGAACCAUGGACCCGAUAUUCUCGAGGUGGGCGUCAUGCCCCCGGAUUCUGACUCGAUGAUACCUUUGCCUUGAUUUCGGUCCCUUGUCAUCAUGUCUCGCGCUUGGCUUAUCUUAUCGGAGACCGGGGUGUAACAUGAACCCGAUUUUACCCUUAUACAGAUAGUCUCCUCGUUUCUCGGAGAGUAAAUGACGAGAAAUGACAUGAGCUCUUGAUUCCUACUUCGAUACAUCGUACGAAAACGACAAAACACCUGAAAUGUCUCGUCAGUCAUGUCAUAAUGGUAUUAAAUGCAUGUCAGCCGCCGGUCGAUUGUCCCUGGACGUGAAAUGUCGCUAAACUCCUAUAAAUACCCCCUCUUUCAUUCAUUUUUUACUUCACGUUAAGCCUUCUACCCUCGUACCUUAGGAUUUCAAUAUUUUCUAUCAAUUUUACCUCUGUCACUCAAGGUUCUUUAGUACUUUGCAAAAAAAUUUACUCAUCUCCUACUCAAGCCAAUAAGUCUGAUCCUUCAACUUUCAAUCUUUAUCCAUUUUUUCCAAGCUUUUCCUUCAUUACCAUGGCAAAAACUUUAAAAUCUGUUCCUCAAAAAGGAUGUUCCUUCUUCUUCGUGGCCGACCACUGAUGUUGAGGAGACCGCUCCUGAAGUGGUUGUUCAUGAACUGGCAGAAGAUCCCCCCUUGAAAAUGUUCAUUCCUAGGGGUUUUUCGGUCACCGAUAACUUCAAGGUUGAGAUUCCUUUAUCGGUACAAGGUCGGGGUGAGGAGGCCUCGAGAUAUAUUUGCUCAAUCACCGAAGAGGUCUUCCCCUCAGUCCGAAAAGACUACAACUGGGCCGACAAAGACGUAGUGGUCCCCGACUCCGACGAAGCCAUUACUACCCAUGUCGAGGGAUAUCUAAGUGUUUACACUUAUCCCUUUACAUUGGGCCCGGUGGACCCGGUCAUCUUAGACUUCUGCAGAAGGUAUAACAUAUUCCUUGGCCAAAUUCAUCCAUCAUUGUGGAGGAUUGUGAUCCUCCUUCGAUUCUUUGUGAACAAAGUCAAUGGGUUCUCGUUUACCAUCGAUCAUUUACUCCGCUUGUACAGUUCCCGAAUCUUCUGAGGGGGACUAAUAAAGCUUGUACGCCGAGCCAGCAAAGCCCCAUUUUUUAGCAUCGACGAGGACCGAGACACGGCUGGCAAGGACGCUUUGUCUGGGUGAGGACCACUGACCUAGUACCCUCCGAGUAGAGGUUGUUCCCUGAGAGGUGGAACGUAUCAUGUAAGUAUGACUCUCUUUAAGCAUUGAUUUCAUGCUUUACCUUCCCUUUUCUUAUCAGUGUUUAUUCUGGUGCAAGCCUUGCUCGAGUUCCAAAUGCAAUUCCUUGACUCAAGGAGUGGCUUGAGGGUAUUGUGUCGCAGAUCCCUAUUUCGAGUGUUCGUGGCGCAAUCUUUUUAAAGGCCGUUGAGAGGCUCGUUCCUAUGGUAAAGUUCCUUUCUAGAGUGAGUCACAUUGAACUUCUUCCCCUAGCAUCGAGUUCUUACUUUUUAUUUUUUUCCUUUUGUAGGUUUGCCUAAGAUCGUCGAGCUUAGGCCUCCGGUCGGAGAUGAGGGCUUACUUGUUAAGUCUCCUACUUCGGGAUAGGCCGGAGAAAAGAAAAAGAGAAGGGCUCAGAGUUCCCCGAGCUUGGAGAAAAAGAAAACGAAAAGGAGGCUGGUCUGUAAACCAAAGGAAAUCUCCAGCUCCCGAGUUCUCAAAUUGGACUCGCUCCUCCGGCUCAAGGACGAGCCCGAGGAGGAUGAUCUCUUUCUGGCCCAUGAGCCGUCUGUGCCCGAGGAAUAGGCGACGACUGAGGAGUAAAUGACGGAGGCUAAUCCCUCUCAAGUUCGUGAGGCCAACGCAACAAUGAGGGUCGAGAACCCUCAAGACGCCGGUUCUGCCCCGCCCGGUGUUAUAGACAUUAUGCGAUCGCCUUCGUUCACAGAAUCAAUGUUUGAUAAAUCCCAAACGACGAAGGAGCAAUCUAACGAGGGGGUCCAUGGAGCUGGUGAUCCCCUUCGAAGCUUUUUUGACGGUGUAGACUCAUCUGACCCUAAGUACUUUACUGGUUUGGGUGAAUUAGAGGUGCCGAAGAAGAGUUCAUCCUUUAAGAUUGGCGGGCCGAGCUCGAGCCCGAGGUUGGUCAACCGGUUUUUUAGCUUUGAGCAUAUAUUCUGGUCGGAAGCGGUCCAUUGUUAUCACCAUCUCGGAGGAUGCUCGGAUUCAUUCCGCCCCUGUUGGGGUAGCUAGUUACCUCUGGUGUCUGGUAACCAACGAAGAUCAGGCAAAAAUGAAUGAGGUGGAUGCGCCAUGCCUAUUCAACGAAACGCAACAGGCGCUGAACCGGGUAAGGUGUUGAUAAAUUUUUUAUUUUUCAGCUUUAGUUCUUGAUGAUCCUAAUACUUCUUCUCAUAUUUGCAUGCCUUGGUGCUUUACCAUGAAACCUUCCUCCAGUAUUAGGAUGAGCUGAGCCAGCAUGAGGCCGAAACUAAAGAGCUUGCUGAGAAGAGAGACAUGUGCAAACUUCUCAGCGAGCAACAUGAAGGAGAGGUCAAGAGCCUUCGAGCCGAGUUGGGCACGACUCAGAAAGAACAUGCCAGAAUAGGUAAAAAUCUUUGAAGUUAGUGAUGAUGGGCUAGACACGGUGACUAAUGGUCAGAACCCGUAGGUCCAACAGAAGAUUGACCGGAUCGACCAACUACGAGCCAAGAUGGAUGUGAUCAAGGUCGAGGCCGAGGAGUGGAAAGGCAAGAUGGACCGUCUGGCCUCAGAAAAAGAGACUGCCCGGGAGCAGCUAGCCUCUGUUGAGGCCCAACUUCGAUCAAUGAGGGAGAAAGCUCAGGCCCGGUCCCAAAAAGUCGAGGACCUCCAGUCUCAAUUGGGCUCGGCUGUUGCUGAUCAGAAUACCUUUGCCAAAGAGCUUAAAGCAGCCAAGUCAGUGGCUGAAAUAACCAGGGCCGAUGCCGAUAGGAUGGUAGCCCAGUACAAAGCCGAUGUUGAGGCAGCCAGGACCGCCUGAAAGACAUCGUUGAAUAUAUGAAAUGGCAAUCCCCAAGGAAGGCCCUAGAGGAGGUUCAUGCUCGGGGUUUUGAUUUAUUAGUCGAGAUAAAAAAUGCUAAGGGAUUCGAGGCUGAGGGGCCAAGAAGUUGGCAUAUCCCCAUGACACAGAAUACUCGGAGGGUUCCGGUGGAUCUGGGGGCAGAGAGGACCCCGAUGGUCCUGGUUAUGAGGCGGGCUCCGGCGAAGACCAAGCUGCUUGGGUGCUUUGUAGAUGUUUUUGAACUUUCAGAUUUUUUGUUGAGGCCAUUUGGCCUUUGUAAAGAUCUUUUAAUAUAUAUAUACUAGGCCUUUUUCCUUCGACAAAUUUCAAGCUUUGUCGCUUUUUCUUUACAAUUGCAAAGAUUUUGAAUGCUUUAGCACGUAAUAAUUAGGUCUUGUUCGGAGGUUCAAACAAUGCUCGUUUUUGGUAUUAUUUUGCUCAAGAUACGUGGGGCCUUGGUAUGACCGGAAGCAUUUCCUGAAGUAUUUACUUAGAAUUUUUAGAUUAUGAUUUUGCCGAAGGUAGCCUUUGAACCGAUUUAGAACUUUUUGAAGGUCUUAUGUUUUGGUUACGGGUCUCAGAUGUCUCCGAGCCGUUCUAGGACGGCCGUAGCCUUUCAAGUUUAGGUGUUGGCUAAUGGGCUUGUUACCCCGAGUCAUCCGGGCUUUCCCAGGACAACAGUCCUCGAAUGGGGAUGGCCGUAACCUUUUGAAGUUUGGGUGUUGCCCGAGGGGCUUGUUACCCUAAAUCAUUCGGGCUUGCCUAGGACAGCAGUCCUCGAAUGGGGACGUCGUAGCCUUUAAAGUUUGGGCAUUGCCCAAUAGGUUUUGUUCUCCCGGGCUUUGAUAGCCCGGGUUGUCCGAACUUGCCUUGGACGGUAGUCCCCGAGCGAGGAUGAUCCUUUAGAUCCGGAUAAAGGUGACCCUUGGGUUCGGUGUCUUUUAGGGAACAAAACAUAAUAAUUUUUAGAGACAAAAUAUUUAUCUGCUAGGUAGAAACUUUCUUUCAUGUCUGUGUGUAAUAUAUAAGAUUUCAAACAUGUACAAGCUUCGUGUUAUGGCUUGGGUGGUCUAUGUGGGCACGGUUCAUUUGACCGUUUAGCCCUUAUAGUAAUUCCUAUCCACCGAGCCUAAACUUGUUCGAGCACAAAGUUUCUUUCCUUGCUAAAAUCAUUAUCCGAGGGUGAUGGCCCCCAUUAUUCGAGGCUGAUCGUAGAGAGAGCUUGGAUACUGCUGAUGUGAUCCUCGACUCCGGUUCAUAACUGAUCUUCAAUCCUAAGUUAGCACGAUCCACUAUUGCCUCGUUAAAAACCUUGCUGGAAAAUCCAUUUGGGACAAAGCCGACUCAAGGAAAAAAGAGUGCAACGCAUGCUUUCAGGCCUAAAAGUCUUAACAUUCCUUGAUCUUCACUUGCAAGUGUUAGUCCAAUAUGUAAAUAAAAUAAAUGAAUGGAGUCAUACCUCAACAGUAGUAUCAUUUUAUGUGGGUCACGUUCCAGUUGUUCAGUAGUCGCUCACCGUUUAUUACUUCGAGUUUGUACGAUCCUUUGUCGGUGAUCUUGGUAAUUCGAUAUGGACCUUCCCAAUUCGGCCCCAGCUUUCCUUCAUUCGAGUUCCGGGUGCUCAAUGUCACAUUCCUUAGUACCAAAUCCUCGAUACUGAAGUGUUGAAGAUUGGCUCUUCGAUUGUAAUACCUUUUGAUCUUUUGAUUUGUGCGGCCAUCCGGAUGAGGGAGACCUCGCGCCUUUUGUCUAACAGUUCUAGGCUCGUAUUCAAAGCCUCAUUGUUUGACUCUUCGGUCACAUUUCGGAACCUGAGACUCGAUUCUCCUACUUCGACCGGUAUUAGAGCUUCGGCGCAGUAAACCAAUAAGAACGGGGUGACCCCGGUACUGGAUUUUGAGGUCGUACGAUAUGCCCAUAGGACUUCGGGCAAGAUUUCCUUCCAUUUUCCUUUGGCGUCGGUCAACCUCUUUUUGAGAUUUUGGAGUAUGAUUUUUUUCGUGGACUCCGCUUGCCUGUUCCCACUAGGGUGAUAGGGUGUCGAUAGGAUCCUUUUGAUCUUAUGGUCCUCGAAAUACUUGCUCACUUUACUUUCGAUGAACUGCUUCCUGUUAUCGCACACAAUCUCGGAUUACAUUCUGAACCGGCAUAUUAUGUGGUCCCAAAUGAAAUCAAUAACUUCUUUUUCCUAACUUUCUCAAAUGCCUGGGCUUCUACCCAUUUAGAAAAAUAGUCAUUCAUAAAUAAUAUAAAUUGAGCCUUACCAGGUGCCCAUAGUAGGGGACCAACGAUGUCCGUUCCCCGUUCCAUAAAUGGCCAAGGUGACAAGACCGAGUGUAGCAGCUCCCCGGGCUGAUGAAUCAUCGGAGCAUGCCUCUAAUAUUCGUCACAUUUUAGUACGAACUCCUUUGCGUCCUUUUCCAUGUCGAUCUAGUAGUAGCUGGCUCUGAUUACCAUCCGAACCUAAUAUUUAGCGCCCAUUAUGAUUUUCGCAGGUGCCUUCGUGGACUUCCCCCAAGACAUACUCGAUAUAUCCUGGUCCUAGACAUAUGGCGAGUAGUCCAUCGAAUGUUCUCCUGAAUAGGGUACCGUCUUCGGACAAGCUAAAUCGGGCCGCCUUCGUACGUAGAGCUCUCAAUUCUUUAGGGUCCGAGGGCAAUUUUCCGGUCUUUAGGUAGCCUAUAUAUUUAUUUCUCCAGUCCCAAGUUAAGCUUGUUGAGUUUAUCUUGGCGUGGCCUUCUUUCACUACAGUUUUCAUGAGUUGUACGGCUGUUCCUGAGCUGGAUUCAUUGUUAUCGACCGACUAUCCCAAAUUAGCAAGAGCAUCGGCUUCGCUGUUCUGAUCUCGAGGUACAUGCUGCAAAGUCCGCUCCUUGAACCGAUGUAGGGUUACCUGCAGUUUAUCCAGGUAUCUUUGCAUUCACUCUUCCCUGACUUCGAACGUCCCAUUGACUUGGUUUACCACAAGAAGGGAAUCAUAUUUAGUUUCGAUCACCUCUGCCCCUAGGCUUUUAGCCAGUUCGAGACCUACAAUUAUGGCCUUAUCUCAGCCUUGCUGUUAGACAAUUUUACAGUCUGAAUAAAUUGUCUAACUACAUUACCUAUCAGUGGCUUCAACACGAUGCCAAGUCUGGACACAUUUGCGUUCGAAGCACCAUCCGUAAAGAGGGUCUAGAUUCCCGAGGAAGUCCCCGAGUUCAAUAACAACUCCUUUUCUACCUCGAGUAUUAGGUCCGACAUAAAGUCAGCCACAAAGUUCGCCAAAAUUUGAGAUUUAAUGACGGUUCAAGUUCGAUAUUCGAUAUCGUACCCACUAAUUUCCAUGGCCCAUUUGGCCAAUCGUCCCGAGAGCUUGGGUUUAUGUAUUAUGUUUCUUAAUGGGUAGGUAGUCACAACAUAUAUGGGAUGGCAUUGAAAAUACGGUUUGAGUUUCCUAGAGACGCUUAGCAAAGCGAGCGCCAAUUUUUCUAAGUGAGGAUACCUGGUUUUGCCCUUGCCUAGAGUUCUGCUAAUAUAAUAGAUAGGAAAUUGCAUACCUUCUUCUUCUCGGACCAGGACUGCACUUACUGCUACCUCGAAUACUGAUAAGUACAGGUACAACUGUUCGUCUGCCUUCGGAGUGUAAAGCAAAGGCGGGCUCGAGAGGUACCGCUUGAACUCCCCCAAGGCUUGUUGGCACUCUGGGUUCCAUGAGAAGUUCUUCUUCUUCUUCUUCAACAGUGAGAAGAAUUGAUGGCUCUUGUUAGAGGACCUCGAGAUUAACCGACCCAGAGCGGCUAUGCCUUCGGUUAAUCUUUGCACAACCUUGAUGUUAUACACUACGGUAAUGUCCUCUAUGGCCUUUAUUUUACCAGGAUUGAUCUCCAUCCCCCUGUUGGACACCAUGAAUCUAAGAAAUUUUUCAGAUUCGACUCCAAAUGCAUAUUUUUCGGGGUUCAGCUUCAUAUAUUAUUUCUUCAAUAUGUUGAAGGUUUCCUGCAAAUUCUUUAAAUGCUCCUCUCCACGUAGGGACUUAACCAACAUAUCGUCAAUGUAAAUCUCCAUUGAUUUUCCUAUCUGUUUUUUAAACAUCCAAUUUA